UAGAAUCAGUAAUAAUUCGUUUUACAGGAAGGAGCUAAUUCUCAGUGUAUGUGCAUUCUGUCCCUUGGACAUAAGGAACUAUUUCUCUAGACCUCUGCAUAGCCACUAUGGGAAUUUUUCUUAAGUAGUGGAGUCAUCAUUGUGCACAUCCAACAUUGUUGUGGGUUGUAUGUAAGUAGGUGACCGGGAAGUUUGUAGGCUUCUCAUCUAGUGUUUCAGGGGAGUCGCCCUUCCUCUUGGUGUGACUCUACUUCACCUUGGUCUCUGAGUGGGAGACUAAAUAAUAUAACUUGUUAAGAGUUAUACUGAAGAUAAAGUAUCCGAGCUCUGGGAAGUGCUAAGGCAAUGCACUAGAGUCAGACCUGGGUUCAAGUGCGUCCUUAUUAAUGUACUAAAUGACCUUAGGCAAGUUCCUUGCCUUUCCUUGUGUUCGAUUUUCACGUCUUAUAAAAUCAGGAUAAGAAUGCAGAGCUUUUGUGAGAUGAAAUGGCAUGCAAAGUGCCAGAGUCCUAUCUAGUGAAUGCACCUCUCCUCUUUCACAAGUGCAGUAGACUAUGUAAAGUAUAUCUCAAGCUGGAUUUGUUCUGCAAAAGGACACCGGGUUCUGUGUUGUAGUGGCUUCCUAUAGACCUUCAUUUUUCCUCUCUUCUGUUAUUCUUUACUGCUGCCAUUGUUGUAAGAGGUACUUGAUUUGUAUUGUUCAGUAAGCUGUGUUGGUUAAGUCUCUUCCCCCAGAAGGGCUCUUAAGUCCUCAAGUAUUGAGAGUAUUGGCUGAGACCUGGAAGCUACUAAGUAACUAUCCGAUGGAUAAACAAAGGUGUUUGCCUUCUUGCUGUCUCCCAUUAAUUUGCAAAGAUGAAAUUUCCACUUUAUGGAGUUUCUCCCCCACAGCAUUGAUUCAUGCAUGCAUUUGAGCAGCACACAGUGACUAACAUAGCAAGCACUGGGGGCAAGUAGGAAUGUUUGGAUGUUCUGCCAAAGGGAGACAGGCUGUAAAGAAGUCCAGGGAGAGUUUCUUGAGGCAAACACCUUUAAAGAGAGAUUUAAUGUUCAUUCAUUCACUCACUCACUCAUUCAUUCAUUUACUCUGAGACAGGAUCCUGCCUUAGCCUGCCAGGUUGUUGUGGUUAUAUACCACCACACUUUUCUUAUGAGUAAUUAUCCAUACAGUGAGAUUUGUCAUAGGGUUCUAGACCUAGAAAAUAGUUUGUGUGAAGGCUUCAAGGCAAGAGCAAGUAACUGAGUUCUAAGACUUGACAGUAAUUUAGGAUUGUUGAAGUUCACAGUUUGAGGGAAGUGUGGAAUUUAAGAGCAUAUGCUCUGGAGUCAGGCAGACCUGGCUUAGAUACUUUCUUAUCUGUACAACUAAGAAUAAGUUCCAUAUUGCUUUUCAACUCAGUUUCCUUAUCUGCAAAAUGGGGAUGAUGCUAGUAGUUCUUGCCUCACAGUGCUGCCGAUGCCGAGAGGAUAAAAUGGAAUAAUGCCUGCGAUGCAGAGCGCAAUGCCAAGCACAGGAGAGGUGCACUAGAAAGGUAGACACAGUAUUGUUCUCCCAGAGGGACUGUGGGCAGGGCUAAGGAAUGUAUGUGUUAGCCCAGGACAAUGGGAAGCCACUGAUGCUUUGAACACGAGGGUAAUAUGAUUGCUAGUGUUACAGAGAUCAUUCUGGAAGAUCCAGGGUCAGGAGGGGAUGUGUCGGAUCAGUUACAAGGUUGUUCUGCGGCAGAAACAAUAGUGGACAGCCAUGUGGUGAAAGAACAGCAAAUGAAUGUGAGUUGAACAAGGUGUUAGAACCCAUGGAAUAUAGCAUUUAAAUAAAUUGAAGAGAUGAAAAUAAAAUCAGAAUUUGUGACUUGAUUACUUAGUGAAUAAUGACUGGUAGGUCGAUUUAGGAGAAAAAUUCGUUUUUCUUUCUACACAUUGAGUGAAGUUAAGCCGUCUCUGAGGCACCCAAAAGGAAGUCACCCCUGGAUGGGUUUGUGUCUCUGCUUCCACUGUAUAGUUCUCCUUCACUUCUCCAGACUUACCCCAGCUGUCACCUUUCUGUCCACCCUCAUUGCUGCGCAGCCACUUAUCUACCCUGCUCAUCUGACCGAAUUACUUUGCUGUCUAACCCCCAUUAUGAUAGCCUACAGCCUUAACACUGCUGACCCACACUUCCCAGCCCAGCCUCACUGCCCCUCAUUGCUCACACUGGCAGCCGCCUCACUUGGAGGGUGAGUAGUAGUUGGAGCUAGUGCUCCAUGGUGCUGUCUGUCACUCACUGGGAACAGCAGCAGCAGCUGAGUCACAUGUAAGAUCUUGAAGCUGCUCCUACAGGCCUUUAACUACUGUGGUCAGUUCAAGGAACUGGUCAGCAAGGGAGAGCUGUGGAUUGGAUUCCAGAUGACCGCUAAACCUAUAAAAAUUAGCACAUUGGUAGACAAAGCCUUAUAUCACCCGUUCUCAAUUUGUUGAUUUCAUAGCAACAACAUAUUAAAAUCUGUUUGACAAAUUUUCAAGAAUUGCUGUGUACCAAGCACUGUCCUUGGAAUCCAAGGAGCAGGGAGAUGUUUCCCCUGCAUCUCAGCAGGUCCCCCUUCUCAUCUUUGCUGAAUCUAAAAGAAAUCCCAUUUAUAAAUCUCUUUAUAUACCUCAGGCCCAUGUAAGGGUCACUACUGAGUCUUGUUGUCUGUAAAAAAAAAAACC
RNAcentral lists this long non-coding RNA (2688 nucleotides) under Mus musculus (house mouse). Its description in RNAcentral is "long non-coding RNA chr10:41812384-41815072". Lineage: Eukaryota; Metazoa; Chordata; Mammalia; Rodentia; Muridae. The record is from RNAcentral.